Molecule: ribosomal RNA, 683 nt
Filed under: uncultured Actinomycetales bacterium
Lineage: Bacteria; Bacillati; Actinomycetota; Actinomycetes; Actinomycetales
Description: bacterial SSU rRNA
Rfam family: Bacterial small subunit ribosomal RNA
Source: RNAcentral
UCGAACGGAAAGGCCCUGCUUGCAGGGUACUCGAGUGGCGAACGGGUGAGUAACACGUGGGUGAUCUGCCCUGCACUUCGGGAUAAGCUUGGGAAACUGGGUCUAAUACCGGAUAGGAACCAUCUUUAGUGUGGUGGUUGGAAAGUUUUUUCGGUGUAGGAUGAGCUCGCGGCCUAUCAGCUUGUUGGUGGGGUAAUGGCCUACCAAGGCGGCGACGGGUAGCCGGCCUGAGAGGGUGUACGGCCACAUUGGGACUGAGAUACGGCCCAGACUCCUACGGGAGGCAGCAGUGGGGAAUAUUGCACAAUGGGCGCAAGCCUGAUGCAGCGACGCCGCGUGGGGGAUGAAGGCCUUCGGGUUGUAAACUCCUUUCGCUAGGGACGAAGCUUUUUGUGACGGUACCUAGAUAAGAAGCACCGGCUAACUACGUGCCAGCAGCCGCGGUAAUACGUAGGGUGCGAGCGUUGUCCGGAAUUACUGGGCGUAAAGGGCUCGUAGGUGGUUUGUCGCGUCGUCUGUGAAAUUCUGGGGCUUAACUCCGGGCGUGCAGGCGAUACGGGCAUAACUUGAGUGCUGUAGGGGUAACUGGAAUUCCUGGUGUAGCGGUGAAAUGCGCAGAUAUCAGGAGGAACACCGAUGGCGAAGGCAGGUUACUGGGCAGUUACUGACGCUGAGGAGCGAAA